GUCUCUCCCGCCAGCCGCGGUGUCCUCUACGCCCUCCCUUUUCAGCGGGCUGAGUUCGCGGUCCUCCGGCGGCCGCCGGCGGCUGACGCAAAGACUCAGAGAUUGAGGAUCAGAUUUCAAGAUGGCGCCAGCGGUUCGACGCCUGCGGCCGCCGGCAAACUCCUCUGGGAGCUGUAGUCCAGGAGGCCGGCUCCUCGCUCUGCGCAUGCGGGGUGGCCAGCGCGUCCCCUCGUUCCCAAGCAAGUCAUCGCCCCUCGCGAGCCUAAAGUGAGGGUCGGCUCGAAGCAGUCACCUGAGAAAGAGUCCAACAGAAACCUCACGGAUGCAGCUGGUUUACCGAGAUUUUGAAGAUAAUGGACAAAAAGCUUUUUCAAGAAUAUAGACACUUGAGACUAGACUGCCGUCAACAAAUCCUCUUUCAAGUAUCAGGUCAGAGGCUAUACUCCUAAACCUGGAGACAUUCAGAUGCCUUCAAUGAAAACUCAUAAUAAACCCCCAAAGUUCUUAUGGAGGAUUAAAUGAGAUGAUUUGGGUACCUUGUGCAUUUAAGUGCUCAGUAAAUAAAGCUGCAAAGAAACCCCUCAUUUUUCUACCUCCUCUCCUGCUCUAGCAGAACUAUGGUUGCCGUGGGUGAUAAAGCCUAUUUCUGAGACACAUUACCAAUGAAGGCUUGUCUGGAAGACACUGACGUUGAAUGAGGAUUUAUAAAUGAGUCUCUAGCUUCAAUUUCAUCAGCUUAAGAAGGGGAUACUGAAAAACUGCUCUAAAAAAAAACACUCU
Odocoileus virginianus texanus is the source of this 780-nucleotide long non-coding RNA. RefSeq lists it as uncharacterized. Lineage: Eukaryota; Metazoa; Chordata; Mammalia; Artiodactyla; Cervidae. The record is from RefSeq and is a predicted model, not a curated record.